UACGAAGGGAGCUAGCGUUGUUCGGAAUCACUGGGCGUAAAGCGCACGUAGGUGGACAUUUAAGUCAGGGGUGAAAGCCCGAGGCUCAACCUCGGAACUGCCUCUGAUACUGGGUGUCUAGAGUUCGAGAGAGGUGAGUGGAAUUCCUAGUGUAGAGGUGAAAUUCGUAGAUAUUAGGAAGAACACCGGUGGCGAAGGCGGCUCACUGGCUCGAUACUGACACUGAGGUGCGAAAGCGUGGGGAGCAAACAGG
RNAcentral lists this ribosomal RNA (253 nucleotides) under uncultured bacterium. Its description in RNAcentral is "partial 16S ribosomal RNA". It matches the Rfam family "Bacterial small subunit ribosomal RNA", at positions 524 to 776 of the family's 1533-position model. The record is from RNAcentral.